GUCUAUGGCCAUGCUACGCUGAAUAAAUCUGAUCCUGUCUGAUCUUGGAAGCUAAGCAGGGUCAGGCCUGGUUAGUUCUUGGAUGGGAGACCACCUAGAAAGACCAGGUGCUGUAGGCA
This 119-nucleotide ribosomal RNA is filed under the name Pteropus alecto (black flying fox). The record is from RNAcentral. Lineage: Eukaryota; Metazoa; Chordata; Mammalia; Chiroptera; Pteropodidae.